UGGGUGUAGUCGCUCUCCAGCUGCGCCCACACGUCGGGCGCCAGGAGCCGGAGGCAGCGGCUCCGCGGGCAGAGCCAGGACUAGUGGAGCACAGUUUCAUGUCUCUGGAUGAUGCAGCAACCUGAGGGCAGAAGACCACCCCACUGGGCGGCCCCCACCAACAGGCUCAGCCAGGCAGACUGGACAGGGGAGGGGCGGAUGCUCCUGGGGAAGAGCCGCAGUCACCAUGGACACUGCCUCAACGCAGACCCUCCAAGGGGCUUCCACCUGGACUGUCGCUGCAUCCUGACUCCGUGUCCUCUCUUCCGUCCCCUCGGCCUGAGCAGCUGCUGCACCUAGCACUCUGAGGAGCACAGACGGCAUUGGCCCUGGGGCCUGUCUGACAGCACCCUGCAUAGUGACAUCCGCUAGAGAGCCCUGAUACAGAAUCAAGUAAACGGUAG
RNAcentral lists this long non-coding RNA (443 nucleotides) under Heterocephalus glaber (naked mole-rat). RNAcentral describes it as "lncRNA (ENSHGLG00100039576.1)". The record is from RNAcentral. Lineage: Eukaryota; Metazoa; Chordata; Mammalia; Rodentia; Bathyergidae.